UGGGGAAUUUUGGACAAUGGGCGAAAGCCUGAUCCAGCAAUGCCGCGUGUGUGAAGAAGGCCUUCGGGUUGUAAAGCACUUUUGUCCGGAAAGAAAUCCUUGGCUCUAAUACAGUCGGGGGAUGACGGUACCGGAAGAAUAAGCACCGGCUAACUACGUGCCAGCAGCCGCGGUAAUACGUAGGGUGCAAGCGUUAAUCGGAAUUACUGGGCGUAAAGCGUGCGCAGGCGGUUUGCUAAGACCGAUGUGAAAUCCCCGGGCUCAACCUGGGAACUGCAUUGGUGACUGGCAGGCUAGAGUAUGGCAGAGGGGGGUAGAAUUCCACGUGUAGCAGUGAAAUGCGUAGAGAUGUGGAGGAAUACCGAUGGCGAAGGCAGCCCCCUGGGCCAAUACUGACGCUCAUGCACGAAAGCGUGGGGGAGCAAAACAGGAUUAGAUACCCUGGUAGUCCACGCCCUAAACGAUGUCAACUAGUUGUUGGGGAUUCAUUUCCUUAGUAACGUAGCUAACGCGUGAAGUUGACCGCCUGGGGAGUACGGUCGCAAGAUUAAAACUCAAAGGAAUUGACGGGGUC
This 574-nucleotide ribosomal RNA is filed under the name uncultured bacterium. RNAcentral's name for it is "partial 16S ribosomal RNA". It matches the Rfam family "Bacterial small subunit ribosomal RNA", at positions 355 to 920 of the family's 1533-position model. The record is from RNAcentral.